This 465-nucleotide ribosomal RNA is filed under the name uncultured bacterium. RNAcentral describes it as "bacterial SSU rRNA". It matches the Rfam family "Bacterial small subunit ribosomal RNA", at positions 338 to 795 of the family's 1533-position model. The record is from RNAcentral.
CCUACGGGGCGCACCAGUAGGGAAUCUUCGGCAAUGGACGAAAGUCUGACCGAGCAACGCCGCGUGAGUGAAGAAGGUUUUCGGAUCGUAAAACUCUGUUGUUAGAGAAGAACAAGUAGGAGAGUAACUGCUCUUACCUUGACGGUAUCUAACCAGAAAGCCACGACUAACUGCGUGCCAGCAGCCGCGGUAAUACGUAGAUGGCAAGCGUUGUCCGGAUUUAUUGGGCGUAAAGCGAGCGCAGGCGGUCUUUUAAGUCUGAUGUGAAAGCCCUCGGCUCGACCGAGGAAGGUCAUUGGAAACUGGAGGACUUGAGUGCAGAAGAGGAGAGUGGAGUUCCAUGUGUAGCGGUGAAAUGCGUAGAUAUAUGGAGGAACACCAGUGGCGAAGGCGACUCUCUGGUCUGUAACUGACGCUGAGGCUCGAAAGCGUGGGGAGCAAACAGGAUUAGAUACCCUGGUAGUC